ACGAACGCUGGCGGCGUGCUUAACACAUGCCAGUCGAACGGAAAGGCCCUGCUUUUGUGGGGUGCUCGAGUGGCGAACGGGUGAGUAACACGUGAGUAACCUGCCCUGACUUUGGGAUAACUUCAGGAAACUGGGGCUAAUACCGGAUAGGAGCUCCUGCUGCAUGGUGGGGGUUGGAAAGUUUCGGCGGUUGGGGAUGGACUCGCGGCUUAUCAGCUUGUUGGUGGGGUAGUGGCUUACCAAGGCUUUGACGGGUAGCCGGCCUGAGAGGGUGACCGGCCACAUUGGGACUGAGAUACGGCCCAGACUCCUACGGGAGGCAGCAGUGGGGAAUAUUGCACAAUGGGCGGAAGCCUGAUGCAGCAACGCCGCGUGCGGGAUGACGGCCUUCGGGUUGUAAACCGCUUUCGCCUGUGACGAAGCGUGAGUGACGGUAAUGGGUAAAGAAGCACCGGCUAACUACGUG
Molecule: ribosomal RNA, 466 nt
Filed under: uncultured bacterium
Lineage: Bacteria
Description: partial 16S ribosomal RNA
Rfam family: Bacterial small subunit ribosomal RNA
Source: RNAcentral